UUUAGGGUUGGGUCAUUGCAUUGAUUGGGAGGCUCUACAAGUGGCUCGCUUAGCUGUCAGGGUUCGGGUACUGAUUGGCACGAAACUGUGGAACUGAUUUUACACCAUAAUAGGUUCCAUGUAUACAGAACUCACACUGGAUUUAUGUUCGACAUUCUUUUUAUAGCUGGCCAUAUCAUGUUAGGAUGAGCAUUAUGCUAUAUCUUUCCAACUUAGGGGUAUGACAAGUUACUUGAGCGUCCCAGGUGUCGAAGUUUCCCUUGGACUUUAUUCCUAUGAGUUUAUGAGUACCUCUAAGUUCCCGACACUGUUCAGACACAUCCAUCAACCAACCUCACUCUGUUGGUCUGACAUUUUUGGGACUGAGUUGCAAUAUAACCCGAGUAAGUAGAAAGUGCUAUGCUUACCUCUGGCUUUGAGCUACAUUUAUGCCAUUUUGGCCUGUAGAUUAACUAGUCAGAGGGAGAGCACAAGGGUUAUCGGUACUUCAGGCGCAUAUUUUUUGUGGAGUAUUAGAGACGCGCCACCCGAUUGAUGUCGCUUACUUCGUGGCUCUCUAUUGUUUCCACCAAUCUGAUCGGAACAGGAAGAGCCUUAUCUGUAUGGGUCCUUACGUGACUCGUUUAGCGAGGUAUUUCGGGCUCCUCGACAUUCCGGAGCAGACUUUAUCCUUCUCUUUGGUUGGAUAGAUGGUCCCACAGAGACUAUCUAUUAUGAGCCACAUGCAAAUGAUUUAACGCCAGCACAGAGUGGGUUCACAUCGAUAUACUUUAUUUCAUUCGGAUCCUUAUCAUGAGUAUGCGGAGCUCCCGGAUGAUGACCCACCUCGACGUGCAGGCCCAACUCGAUCCUCUUCUUUUUUGAGUCACUCCACUACUGCAGAUUCAGUCAUGCUUGAGGAUAUUUAUCGCAUACAACAGCAAUAAUCUAAGGGAAUCGACUACCUUAAGUAGCGGCAGUCAGAGUGGCUCGAUCGCUUUAAGUAGUGACAUUUGGAGCACUUCAGCCAGCUUCAGCGUCAGUAGGAUCGCAUCAAAUCCUAUAUACAGUAGAUGUGCCAGCAUUUUCACAUUUCUUCACCUGAUCCCACUAUUGUACCUAUGCCUCGCAAUCCUGACAACCUACAUGAUGUCGAUCACUAACUUUAUUUAGUUUUAUGUUUUAUUUUUAUUUGUACUUUUAUUUUUAUUAUUAGUUGUUUUUAUUUUAUUUUAUUUUUAAGACUUAUAUGUUUUGUUUUGUUAUACAUUGUACUUUUUGCAAUGUCCUGAAUUUCUUAAAUUAUGGAAUGUGGAAUUAUGUCAUAUAAGUUAAUAUGGCAUAGUGGUUGGGUUUUGUGACUA
This 1343-nucleotide long non-coding RNA is filed under the name Gossypium raimondii (Peruvian cotton). RNAcentral describes it as "long non-coding RNA (GRAI_LNC003099)". Lineage: Eukaryota; Viridiplantae; Streptophyta; Magnoliopsida; Malvales; Malvaceae. The record is from RNAcentral.